This is an RNA transcript of Strigops habroptila (Kakapo), 3515 nucleotides long. It is a transcript of the gene named membrane bound O-acyltransferase domain containing 1, with no coding region annotated. The transcript has 15 exons. NCBI's taxonomy places the organism in Eukaryota, Metazoa, Chordata, Aves, Psittaciformes, Psittacidae. The record is from RefSeq and is a predicted model, not a curated record.
CGCGGCGGGGCGGCGGCCUGCGGGCGCGGAGCGGCGCGGAGCUGGGCGCGGCGGGGCGCGCAGGUGCGUGUGGCGGCGGCGGGUCGGUUCGGGUGCGGGGCUAUGCAGCAUGGCCGAGCCGCCCGGCGCCCCGCACCGCACCACUGGCUCCACCUUGCUGCACCCGCUGAGCGGGCUGCUGGGCAUCCCGCUGGACCAGAUCAAUUUUGUAGCCUGUCAACUGUUUGCACUUCUGGCUGCGUUUUGGUUUCGUAUUUACUUGGGUCCCAGUCAUGCCAGCUCUGCUGUUCGCCAUGCCUUUGCCACCCUCUUUGGAAUAUACUUUGCUGUCUUCUGCUUUGGGUGGUAUUCCAUUCAUCUUUUUGUCCUGGUGAUGAUGAACUAUGGCAUUAUGAAUAUGGCGAGUAUUCCCAACAUCCACAGGUACUCCUUUGUCGUAGCUAUGGGAUACCUCACGUUGUGCCACAUAAGCCGAAUUUACAUAUUUCAUUAUGGUAUUCUCACUACAGAUUUUUCCGGAGGAUUAUGCUGUCCACUGAUGAUAAUUACACAGAAGAUCACAACACUUGCAUGCCAGUUACAUGAUGGAAUAGGGCGACAAGCUGAGGAGCUCACUGCUGAGCAGAAUCGGCUUGCUGUAAAGUCAAGACCUUCUUUACUGGAGUAUUUAAGCUAUCUCCUCAAUUUUAUGAGCAUCAUAGCUGGGCCUUGCAGCAAUUACAAGGAUUAUAUAGCCUUCAUUGAAGGGAGGCAUGUGCACAUGAAACUGUUAGAAGUGAACUGGAAGCAGAAGGGUUAUGACAGACUUCCUGAUCCUUCUCCAACUGGAGCAGUGAUGUAUAAGCUGUGUAUCACACUAGUAUCUCUCAUUUUAUUCUUAACACUAACCAAGAACUUUCCUAUGGCAUAUAUUAUUGAUAAUGAAUUUCUUGAUAAAACACCCUUCUUGUCAAGACUUGGUUACCUGUAUGUUGUAACACAGGCAGCAAAACCAAAGUAUUACUUUGCAUGGACGCUAGCAGAUGCAGUCAACAAUGCAGCUGGUUAUGGAUUCAGUGGAGUUGAUGAGAGAGGCACUUUCCGCUGGGACCUGUUGUCCAAUUUGAAUAUUUGGAACAUCGAGACUGCGACAAGUUUUAAAAUGUACAUUGAAAACUGGAACAUUCAGACAGCUGCCUGGCUAAAACGUGUCUGCUAUGACAGAGCUCCCUGGUACCCUACAGCUUUAACAUUUAUCCUGUCGGCCCUGUGGCAUGGUAUCUAUCCUGGAUAUUAUUUUACGUUUCUCACUGGAAUCCUUAUCACACUCGCAGCCAGAGCAAUAAGAAACAAUUUUAGACAUUACUUCCUCUCGUCAGUGCCCCUCAAGAUAGCCUACGACGCUGUCACCUGGGUUGUCACUCAACUGGCAGUGUGCUAUACUGUUGCACCAUUUGUUAUGCUGGCUGUUGAGCCCGCUAUUAAGUUUUACAGUUGAGUCUCGACCAUUAACUGUGGCCAAGGUUGGAGAGGUUAAGAAACAUGUGAGUUGGCAGUAGGAAGGACUUGAUGAGAAAUGACCAGGUUUCCAACUGCUGAAUGCAUAGAACAGGAGGUCAGCAGGAGGUAAAGAAGGUGCCUGACAGAGCAUUACUUCUUGAAAUGAGUCUAUGUAUUUUCACAUGCACAUUCUAAGUGUCCUGGUGUUGCUCUUGUUGCCAAUCAGACCUCAAGCUCACUCCAUAAGAAAGGCUCAGAAUCAGGCCAUGCUGAACUCCAUUGCAAGAAAAGACAAAUGAUGCCUCCAAAGAAAAUUGCCAACAUUGAAAAAUCAAGCUGUCAUAUUGGAAACAAACAAAGAAGAAGAAAACUGAGUGGGAUGAGGGUCAAAGUACAAGACAAGUGGCAUUUCUAUUGCUUAUCUUAAAAUCUUACUGGACAGGGCAGAAAAGAGCCUGAAUGACUAUAUUUCAAAUUAUUCCAGUUAACAGAGAUUUUACAGGCAAUGUUUACAGGCUCCUUGGGCAUUUCGACUUUUUUAAUAAAUAUUUUUAUGAAGUGUUUUUAUAUAUUUAAACUUUUUCACAGAGGAAUUUUUGCUCUUUUACAGAAAUAUGCAACUAUUAAUCAAUAAAUAAUCCGUGAUUAGAAGACAGGAAGCAGCUAGUAAAGAGUUAGACCAGCUGCCUGAUAGCCUGGUGCUAUGGGCAGCUGGGAGGGGAAGCUUUUCAUCUCUUGGCUAUGGAAAGAGAAGAUGCAAGUAGAAAACUACAGACAUGGGGUUGUUCUAGAUGCUGGCAGUGACUUCUGCCCUGGCAGGGAGAAGGAGGAGCAGGGCUUUCCUAGGCAGUCUUCAGAGCAGGGACUGCAGCCUGAGCUUGGUAGCAAGGGUAUUUCACAUCCUUCAAUGUGAUGCCUGCUGGCAAUGAAGGCAAGACAAGUCCCUUGGGAAUAGGUGUUGGGGAACACUGGCAACUGGCUAAGCCAAAAUCUAAAACCAAAUAAAAACAAAACAAAAGGCAGAGGGGAACCCAACCUAGAGUGAAAGAAGGGUCAUAUGCCCUGUGAUCUGCAGAGUUAUGCUUCUCUAACGAUGCAGCUGAUGCUCAUUGCUACACCAGCCUUACUUUGCAGUUUCAGCAUGAUGCAGCACUUCCAUUUUGGUAUCAAAAUAACUGAGGAGCUAUGCAGGUUUAGUGUUUUAAAACUCAAAAUUAUGGGUUAAAUCUGGAGAAGGUUUGUAAUGGACCAGACUGUUCUACUCAGAAACAUCCCAUCUUAUGGAGUGGUUACUUUCCAGCAGGAUAACACUAAUUUGAAACCUGAACAGUAAAUUAUCAUAGUCAUAAUAAAUCAUUGUCUACAAAAUAUGUGAUAUGAUAUGAUCAUCACAAAAGCCAAGACCAAGUCCCUAUAUGAUCUUAACACGUGCCUUGGCCUGUUCAUGCAGGUUUUCUUGCUUGUAAAGUCCUUGGCUGACAGAGAUGUUUUAAGGCUUUAGUUUCUAAGAGCUUGUUGUGCAUUGAGAUAAACUGCUGCAAAAUGCUGUGUCAGGGGUUUUUAUUUAAUUUUUUAAAAAUCCACUUACCCCAAUAAAACAAACCGUUAUGAUACAUCAAAACCAACUAAAACAUGUUUUAAAAUUACUGUUUUCCAGGAAUGUUUUUAUUAGGAUUUUGUAGAAGCAAUUCUCUUGUUAAAGUAUUGGUAUGACCAUUGCUUUAUGGUCAUUUAAUUGACAUGUGAUUUCACAAAGAAUCUGCUGUUUUCUGCAUUCUGAUUUUUGUGUCAGAUUAAAAUUUUGCAGAAUCCUAAUAUUUUGGGAAGAAAAAAAAUCAGUGAAAUCAAAAAAAGUUCCAAAACAAAGUCGAUUUUUUUUUUUUAAUUUUUUUUUUUUCUCUUUUGUGGGGAGAAUUUUUUGUCAUGUGACCACCUCAUAACUUAGAGCAUAGCUCAUGGAAGGGUAUAUUUGGUAAUAUAUUUUGAGGGCGAUGUGGGAUUAAAAGGUUGAUCUGAAUAAACAAAUUGCUGUGUGU